UACGUAGGUGGCGAGCGUUGUCCGGAUUUACUGGGCGUAAAGAGCGCGCAGGCGGUCGUACAAGUCGCGUGUGAAAGCCCCCGGCUCAACUGGGGAGGGUCACGCGAUACUGUUCGACUCGAAGGCAGGAGAGGGGAGCGGAAUUCCCGGUGUAGUGGUGAAAUGCGUAGAUAUCGGGAGGAACACCAGUGGCGAAGGCGGCUUCCUGGCCUGUUCUUGACGCUGAGGCGCGAAAGCUAGGGUAGCAAACGGG
RNAcentral lists this ribosomal RNA (253 nucleotides) under uncultured bacterium. Its description in RNAcentral is "partial 16S ribosomal RNA". It matches the Rfam family "Bacterial small subunit ribosomal RNA", at positions 524 to 776 of the family's 1533-position model. The record is from RNAcentral.